AUUGAACGCUGGCGGCAUGCCUUACACAUGCAAGUCGAACGGCAGCAUGAUCUAGCUUGCUAGAUUGAUGGCGAGUGGCGAACGGGUGAGUAAUACAUCGGGACGUGCCCUGUAGUGGGGGAUAACUAGUCGAAAGAUUAGCUAAUACCGCAUACGACCUGAGGGUGAAAGUGGGGGACCGCAAGGCCUCAUGCUAUAGGAGCGGCCGAUGUCUGAUUAGCUAGUUGGUGAGGUAAAGGCUCACCAAGGCGACGAUCAGUAGCUGGUCUGAGAGGACGAUCAGCCACACUGGGACUGAGACACGGCCCAGACUCCUACGGGAGGCAGCAGUGGGGAAUUUUGGACAAUGGGCGAAAGCCUGAUCCAGCAAUGCCGCGUGUGAAGAAGGCCUUCGGGUUGUAAAGCACUUUUGUCCGGAAAGAAAUGGCUCUGGUUAAUACCUGGGGUCGAUGACGGUACCGGAAGAAUAAGGACCGGCUAACUACGUG
Molecule: ribosomal RNA, 488 nt
Filed under: uncultured bacterium
Lineage: Bacteria
Description: partial 16S ribosomal RNA
Rfam family: Bacterial small subunit ribosomal RNA
Source: RNAcentral